RNAcentral lists this long non-coding RNA (365 nucleotides) under Carica papaya (papaya). RNAcentral describes it as "long non-coding RNA (CPAP_LNC001821)". The record is from RNAcentral. Lineage: Eukaryota; Viridiplantae; Streptophyta; Magnoliopsida; Brassicales; Caricaceae.
UACCUCAAUUACACUCGAAUAUCAUUGAUAGCCUCAAAGUAUUAUCACAUACACUCAAAAUAACAUAUAUACACCCAAAAGGUCAUUUCUAAGGUUUCAUCACACGAUGCUAUUUAUGUCAUCGUCGAGGAGAGGCGAAAUGGAUCCCCACAUCGCAUGGAUGGCACACACACGAAAUAACAGUUACGUUUGCUAGUGACCCAUAAUCACAAAUACCUAUCCACAUCUGGACUAGGUUUUAAACUCUAUCCAUGUGUAGAUUCACCGUAACCGCUGAACUUCAGACACUCACACACACACACUCCUCCUCGAUCCAAACUAAACGAGAAAGCAUCUAAGAUCCAUACACUAUUGACUCACAUCAU